This is a long non-coding RNA of Oncorhynchus gorbuscha (pink salmon), 1853 nucleotides long. RefSeq lists it as uncharacterized. The record is from RefSeq and is a predicted model, not a curated record. The transcript has 4 exons. NCBI's taxonomy places the organism in Eukaryota, Metazoa, Chordata, Actinopteri, Salmoniformes, Salmonidae.
AGUUUGGCUAAAACGCUACAAGGAAGCAGCCACGCAAAACGGUCUUGAGUGACAACCAAUCUGCCCAAUUAGCUGUUAGAUUUACGCUUUGUUGAUCCUCCCGCUUAUUUCGCAACGCCCACUUUCAGACACGCUCAAUGUAUGCAGUUACCCAUGACUCCUAGCAGGCAAACUUGGUGCAUAGGCCACAGCACCACCCGAGUGUUACUGCCAAGCAAACCGUGACUACAUGGUAUUAGGUGAGACGAUCCUAUCAGAUCUUGUCCACCACACCAACAGCGGGAGAGCCUUACCUGGGACAACACAUCAGAAUCCUAGAAACUCCCCCUUCACUUUGGGCCAAGAGUGGUGCUCCUUUUGACCGAAUCAUCCAACGAUUCCUUUCGAGUGCUACAGGAGGAUACUCCAGAGACAAUGGCUGAUAUUGAGAGGGACAAUCAACACACAGAUAUACUGCAGGUGCAAAUCAAACAGGAGGACGGAGAAGAGCCUCACGAUACAGAGGACCGUCUCAAGAGUUCUAAUACCGGAGAACAGAAGCCUUGUCACAUCUGCCCUGAUUGUGGUAAAAGUUAUACCCGUUCGGAUAAUCUUAAAACACACCAGAAAAUUCAUAUGACAGAGAGGCCGUACCUCUGCUCUGAGUGUGGUAAAGGUUUUACCCGCACAGAUCAUCUGAAAUCACACCUGAAAACACAUGAAAGAAAGAAGAAGAAACUUAAACACCCCUGUACUGAUUGUGUGAAAGGCUUUGUCCAUUUGGAGCAGCUUGAAAAACAUCUGGAAAAAAAUCACCUUACACACAAGGAAAAGAAACCUCACGGCUGUCCAAGGUGCGAUGAGAGCUUUUCUGACCUGGAAGAACUAACAACACACUUGCCAGUACAUACUGAAGAGCUGGCCCUCUACUGCUCUGACUGCGGCUCAACUCUCAGCGAUGAUACAGUUGUCUCGUCUCCAUACCACUACUAGGGCCACGUCUCCUGCCAGGCCAAACUCCCUGCAAUGCAUCUCAUCCAUGAAUGAUCCUGGCUGCCCGAUACCAGCCAAUACUGAGCGACGAUCCUCCAUGAUUCCAUCCGCCAUUCCAGAUUAAAAUGCAAACGCGGUUCCGCAGGCGGAACGUCAUGUCUCCGGUACGCUGGCGGUGUGUGUGAUGGCCAGUGUAUAUAGGAGUGGCUGUGGAGGAAGCAGGCGUGUUGUGUGCAGGUGGUGCUCUUGCCAGAACCACUCUACUGGAGCUCCACUCGAGUCAAAGUACCCUGAGAACCACGUAGAGCCUAGAACUGGACAGAAACACCUAGAACUGGACCCAACCUCCCACAACUGCAUAUAGUUGGAAAGAACUGCCUAGACAGAACUACACCGAACCUGGAAGAACUACCCAGAACCGGUGAAGAACUGCAGAAAAACACUCAGAACUGCCUAGCGUUGUAAUGAACCUUGCAGAACUGCUUAGAUACGGACAUCACUUAUUUUUAUUUAUUUUAUUUUACCUUUAUUUAACUAGGCAAGUCCGUUAAGAACAAAUUCUUAUUUUCAAUGACGGCCUAGGAACAGUGGGUUAACUGCCUGUUCUGAAUCUAGAGUGCUGUGCUGAGAGAGACCUCUGUAUUCCCACAAAUCCCAAUAAUCCAGUAUCUUUCAAAAUAGUUAGUGUGAUAGUGUAUGAGUGAAAUGUAUGGAUGUUUUUCCAAAGGUUUUACUUCUAAGAAUCAAUUCAACGUGUUUAUUUCAAGAUGUUGUUUGUUUAGUCAAAUAAGGGCAUUUACAUUUUUACAUUGUAUCCCAUCUACGUCUUUGUUUUCCCCUAGUCAUUGAAUAAAAUACUUGGUUGUUCUAAUGGUCAAAUG